AGAAUCAACGCUGGCGGCGUGCCUAACACAUGCAAGUCGAACGAGAAAGUGGAGCAAUCCAUGAGUAAAGUGGCGCACGGGUGAGUAACACGUGACUAACCUACCCUUGAGUGGGGGAUAACCUAGAGAAAUCUGGGCUAAUACCGCAUAAUACCUUCGGGUCAAAGGAGCAAUUCGCUUAAGGAGGGGGUCGCGGCCGAUUAGUUAGUUGGCGGGGUAAUGGCCCACCAAGACGAUGAUCUGUA
Molecule: ribosomal RNA, 245 nt
Filed under: uncultured bacterium
Lineage: Bacteria
Description: partial small subunit ribosomal RNA
Rfam family: Bacterial small subunit ribosomal RNA
Source: RNAcentral